GUAAUGUCUGGGAAACUGCCUGAUGGAGGGGGAUAACUACUGGAAACGGUAGCUAAUACCGCAUAACGUCGCAAGACCAAAGUGGGGGACCUUCGGGCCUCAUGCCAUAAGAUGUGCCCAGAUGGGAUUAGCUAGUAGGUGGGGUAACGGCUCACCUAGGCGACGAUCCCUAGCUGGUCUGAGAGGAUGACCAGCCACACUGGAACUGAGACACGGUCCAG
Molecule: ribosomal RNA, 221 nt
Filed under: uncultured bacterium
Lineage: Bacteria
Description: partial 16S ribosomal RNA
Rfam family: Bacterial small subunit ribosomal RNA
Source: RNAcentral